CACACACACCUGGCAUGAGUUUUAAGCCACCGGGUCUGAGACUCGAACCACAGUCGACUAUGUAGUCCAGUUAUGUAGCCAUUACACCACCUGCUGGUCCCAUUGAUGGUCAUUUUCUUCAUGUGACCAGAGGGUGAUAUUGACCAAAGAUCUUUGAAUUGCCGCCCAGAGUCUGAUACUGCUUUUUCAAUUGGUCUUUCAUGUUUUAUUGACUAAAGCGUCUUAGAGGUUGCAUCACUCAGCUGUUUUGCCAGGAAAGACGAGAAAAAGUGAAAUUUAGCAUGUGUAUGUCCCAGAAGAUCUUUCAGUCGUAAAAAUGGAACAUUCUUAGAGACACUGUUAAAACCUACAGCGGUCACAACAGCUACCCUCCUGCUGUUGAAUGAAAGCUGUAGAUGAGGGGAACUUUGGCGACUCAAAAGUGGGGCAUAGAGAUUCAGAAGGCACGGCGAAGGGUCAACCUGUCUGCCGCCACCGGGGACUUCCCCGAGGAUCACUACUCUACUACCGAGCAGGAACAAAAGCUGCCAAGCACAAGUUUAUGGGACAACCCCAGAGGAAGCAGCAGCUGACAGACGGGUAACUGGUUUCGGGAAGGGAGGAGAGGAUGUCGGAGGCGCCUGCCGCAGCAGACCAGUCACGUCCAUCUGCAGAGAAAACGUUAACGUUGUGGAUGCCCUCAUCGAAGAGGCCUGACCACGCACUGGCAGCAGCCAGCACCACGGGCCUCCCGGGUGGCCCAGUGCACGACUUCGACCGACCAACUCCAGUCAAGGGAAUGUUCUGCUCACAGGUGUCAAGACUGUUGCACCCAUAGCUGCUACAGACGAGAGCAGACCUGUCCAUGGAAAUAAAACAGGCGGGCGAAGGGCCCAGUGCCUUUCGGGAGAAUUGUCCCAGGAGUGGGUGCGUGGCCUUGCCAGCACGGUCCCGAAGGCAGAGCCACGAGGGAGAAGCGGUCCAGCCGGAGGCAGAGCACUCUGGUCAAGAGCAGAGGUCAUGGCUGAGGUGCUUUGCUUGAGGGCUUCUGGAAGGCCAAAGAAUGGUGCCAUGUGGUUAUUAUGAGAGUGUUUUGAGAAAGUUAGCCAGACUUGAGCAGACAAACACUCAGAAAAAUGCCACCAGAGAGUCUGUCUCUACCUCAAGGGUGCCCCUGCUCCUUCCUCUCAUCAGACAGGGGCACUUUGUGAGAGUCUCGGGGAGGGAGCAUUAGGGGUCCACCUUACUGUCCUGGAUCUGCUCCUUCUGACCUUCUUAAAGUCUUUAAAGGGCAUUUUUCUUCACUAAAUAAUAUAGAAAAGACUCCAUUGACGUUGUGAACUCCCCCGGGUGCUCUGUUCUUUACGGACGAACUAAGUGGCUGAUGGGAAUCGCACAGAUGUCUUGAACUUGACGGAGAUACUGUUGAGAAAUAAAGUUUAUAUUUGUA
Tupaia belangeri chinensis (Chinese tree shrew) is the source of this 1429-nucleotide long non-coding RNA. RefSeq lists it as uncharacterized. The transcript has 2 exons. The record is from RefSeq and is a predicted model, not a curated record. NCBI's taxonomy places the organism in Eukaryota, Metazoa, Chordata, Mammalia, Scandentia, Tupaiidae.